CAUAGGGGUGCCGAAAGGCUGAGAUCAUACCCUCGAACCUGAUCCGGGUAAUGCCGGCGUAGGAAAUCGUUUAU
Molecule: non-coding RNA, 74 nt
Filed under: bovine gut metagenome
Description: TPP riboswitch (THI element)
Rfam family: TPP riboswitch aptamer (THI element) (bases 2-67)
About the family: Vitamin B(1) in its active form thiamin pyrophosphate (TPP) is an essential coenzyme that is synthesised by coupling of pyrimidine and thiazole moieties in bacteria. The previously detected thiamin-regulatory element, thi box was extended, resulting in a new, highly conserved RNA secondary structure, the THI element, which is widely distributed in eubacteria and also occurs in some archaea.
Source: RNAcentral